RNAcentral lists this ribosomal RNA (626 nucleotides) under Talaromyces purpureogenus. Its description in RNAcentral is "eukaryotic LSU rRNA". The stretch from base 243 to 396 matches the Rfam family "5.8S ribosomal RNA". Lineage: Eukaryota; Fungi; Ascomycota; Eurotiomycetes; Eurotiales; Trichocomaceae. The record is from RNAcentral.
UAGAACUCGGUACGCGCGGAUCUUCCAGAGAUUUCCGUAGGUGAACCUGCGGAAGGAUCAUUACCGAGUGCGAGCCCUCGCGGCUCAACCUCCCACCCUUGUCUCUCUACACCCUGUUGCUUUGGCGGGCCCACCGGGGCCACCCGGUCGCCGGGGGACGCAUGUCCCCGGGCCCGCGCCCGCCGAAGCGCUCUGUGAACCCUGAUGAAGAUGGGCUGUCUGAGUACUAUGAAAAUUGUCAAAACUUUCAACAAUGGAUCUCUUGGUUCCGGCAUCGAUGAAGAACGCAGCGAAAUGCGAUAAGUAAUGUGAAUUGCAGAAUUCCGUGAAUCAUCGAAUCUUUGAACGCACAUUGCGCCCCCUGGCAUUCCGGGGGGCAUGCCUGUCCGAGCGUCAUUUCUGCCCUCAAGCACGGCUUGUGUGUUGGGUGCGGUCCCCCCGGGGACCCGCCCGAAAGGCAGCGGCGACGUCCGUCUGGUCCUCGAGCGUAUGGGGCUUUGUCACUCGCUCGGGAAGGACCUGCGGGGGUUGAUCACCACCAUAUUUUUACCACGGUUGACCUCGGAUCAGGUAGGAGUUACCCGCUGAACUUAAGCAUAUCAAUAAGCGGAGGAAAUCGUCGAACG